GUGCAGCGCCCCCACAGGCCAGGAGGGGAACAGGUUGGUUUGGGUCAGAACCACAGCAGCUGGAGGUGGAGCAGAUGAUGGAGUUCUGGUUCUGGAAUCGGGUCCACUGGGCAAUCAGGUGCAGAAACGCUGCCACCACCAGCUGGCUCUUGGCUGAUGUGUUUCUCAUCCUGCGCUGCAGGAUCAUUAGAGAGCAGACAGUCGCUGCAGAUUUCCAUCCUCUCAGCAGGUGAUGGCAGCGAUCCGGGCAGCAGCUUCCUCACGCUCUGCUCCCCUGCUGCAUUCUGACACGCUGCCAACAACUCUGCUCUGCAACACUUUUAACAUCAGUAACACCUGAACACUGACCCAAACCGUCUCGAAACCUUUGAUGCUACAACCAAGAACUGAGUUCAACAACAGUAACAGGUGGAUUUUCUAUUAAAAAACAAUUUCUGAACUAA
This is a long non-coding RNA of Xiphophorus hellerii (green swordtail), 443 nucleotides long. RefSeq lists it as uncharacterized. Lineage: Eukaryota; Metazoa; Chordata; Actinopteri; Cyprinodontiformes; Poeciliidae. The record is from RefSeq and is a predicted model, not a curated record. The transcript is spliced from 2 exons.